AGGUUGCAGCACUCGGAGCGGGCGAGGCAGGGGGCUGAGGAGCGGAGCCACAAGCUGCAGCAGGAGCUGGGCGGGAGGAUUGGCGCCCUGCAGCUGCAGCUCUCCCAGCUGCACGAGCAAUGCUCAAGCCUGGAGAAAGAAUUGAAAUCAGAAAAAGAGCAAAGACAGGCUCUUCAGCGCGAAUUACAGCACGAGAAAGACACUUCCUCUCUACUCAGGAUGGAGCUGCAACAAGUGGAAGGACUGAAAAAGGAGUUGCGGGAGCUUCAGGACGAGAAGGCAGAGCUGCAGAAGAUCUGCGAGGAGCAGGAACAAGCCCUCCAGGAAAUGGGCCUGCACCUCAGCCAGUCCAAGCUGAAGAUGGAAGAUAUAAAAGAAGUGAACCAGGCACUGAAGGUACUGGCUUGCUAAGAACCACUUCUUCGCUGUCAGCUUGCGCUGACUGCCCGUGUGCUCGUACGUUUAAGUAUCCCAACAGUCAGGUGAGAGCGUGUGGUUGAAGCAGUGGUGAUGACGUAUUGACAGAGAAGCCAAACGCUGCUCAGAAACGUGUCCCUCGGCUGAGGGCGAUGCUGACAGGUGGCCAAAGCUGAGCCUAGGUCUUCCGACUCCAGUUCCUCCGCCAUCAGCUGUGCUUUCAAAAUAGGCCUGAUGGGCAUCCCUUAAGGGGGAAGCAGGUGGCAGAGAGGAGGGACCCGCGGAUAUCUUUAAACAGCGAAAAACAGGCCCUUCUGUUGAAGUGAGGGGCCAGAGGCCAGCCAGCCCCACUGCAGUGCCCUGUGCCAUUGCUAGGGACCACUCAAGCCAAGCCCUGAGUUGGGCCAGGUUUCCGCACCCUGGUGGGGAGGGCAGAAUGACACAUUCCACCGAAGAGCAGGAGCUUGCAGGUGGCCCAGUGUGGGUGCCGGUGCCAGGCUGAGCUGCAGGGUGGAGAGCGUGGGAGAGGAGGCAGACAUUUGGGGGCACGGCAGCCUGGCCUUCAAGACAGCCUUGCCUGCAGGAGCACCCCGCUUCGGCCUCAGCUGUGCCGUGGCAGCAAUGCAAAAGCAGUCCCUU
RNAcentral lists this small RNA (1056 nucleotides) under Pan troglodytes (chimpanzee). RNAcentral describes it as "retained intron". The record is from RNAcentral. Lineage: Eukaryota; Metazoa; Chordata; Mammalia; Primates; Hominidae.